CCUACGGGUGGCAGCAGUGGGGAAUAUUGCACAAUGGGGGAAACCCUGAUGCAGCGACGCCGCGUGGGCGAGGAAGUACCUCGGUAUGUAAAGCCCUAUCAGCAGGGAAGAAACAGGACAGUACCUGACUAAGAAGCCCCGGCUAACUACGUGCCAGCAGCCGCGGUAAUACCGAGGGGCCAAGCGUUAACCGGAUUCACUGGGCGUAAAGGGAGCGGAGGGGGGAUGGCAAGUCUGAUGUGAAAACCGGGGGCCCAACCCCGGGAGUGCAUUGGAAACUGCCAGGCUGGAGUGUCGGAGGGGUAGGCGGAAUUCGUGGUGUAGCGGUGAAAUGCGUAGAUAUUACGAGGAACACCAGUGGCGAAGGCAGCUUACUGGACGACUACUGACGCUGAGGCUCGAAAGCGUGGGGAGCAAACAGGAUUAGAUACCCCUGUAGUC
RNAcentral lists this ribosomal RNA (441 nucleotides) under uncultured bacterium. RNAcentral's name for it is "partial 16S ribosomal RNA". It matches the Rfam family "Bacterial small subunit ribosomal RNA", at positions 338 to 795 of the family's 1533-position model. The record is from RNAcentral.